AGCUAGUUGGUGGUGUAAUGGACCACCAAGGCGACGAUCAGUAGGGGAUCUGAGAGGACUAACCCCCACACUGGUACUGAGACACGGACCAGACUCCUACGGGAGGCAGCAGUAAGGAAUAUUGGACAAUGGGGGCAACCCUGAUCCACCCAUGCCGCGUGAGUGAUUAAGGCCUUCGGGUUGUAAAGCUCUUUUGGCGGGGACGAUGAUGACGGUACCCGCAGGAUAAGCCCCGGCUAACUUCGUGCCAGCAGCCGCGGUAAGACGAAGGGGGCUAGCGUUGUUCGGAAUUACUGGGCGUAAAGCGAGUGUAGGUGGUUGUCCAAGUUGGAUGUGAAAGCCUUGAGCUCAACUCAAGAAAUGCAUUCAGGACUGGAUGACUAGAGGACCGGAGAGGAUAGUGGAAUUCCCAGUGUAGUGUUGAAAUACGUAGAGAUUGGGAAGAACACCAGUGGCGAAGGCGGCUAUCUGGACGGUUUCUGACACUAAGACUCGAAAGCGUGGGGAGCAAACAGGAUUAGAUACCCUGGUAGUCCACGCCGUAAACGAUGGGUGCUAGACGUUGGCGAGCUUGCACGUCAGUGUCGCAGCUAACGCGUUAAGCACCCCGCCUGGGGAGUACGGCCGCAGGUGAA
Molecule: ribosomal RNA, 635 nt
Filed under: uncultured bacterium
Lineage: Bacteria
Description: bacterial SSU rRNA
Rfam family: Bacterial small subunit ribosomal RNA
Source: RNAcentral